CCUAUCAGCUUGUUGGUGGGGUAAUGGCCUACCAAGGCGACGACGGGUAGCCGACCUGAGAGGGUGACCGGCCACACUGGGACUGAGACACGGCCCAGACUCCUACGGGAGGCAGCAGUGGGGAAUAUUGCACAAUGGGCGAAAGCCUGAUGCAGCGACGCCGCGUGAGGGAUGAAGGCCUUCGGGUUGUAAACCUCUUUCAGCAGGGACGAAGCGCAAGUGACGGUACCUGCAGAAGAAGCACCGGCUAACUACGUGCCAGCAGCCGCGGUAAUACGUAGGGUGCGAGCGUUGUCCGGAAUUACUGGGCGUAAAGAGUUCGUAGGCGGUUUGUCGCGUCGUUUGUGAAAACCCGGGGCUCAACUUCGGGCUUGCAGGCGAUACGGGCAGACUUGAGUGUUUCAGGGGAGACUGGAAUUCC
Molecule: ribosomal RNA, 421 nt
Filed under: Rhodococcus sp. (in: high G+C Gram-positive bacteria)
Lineage: Bacteria; Bacillati; Actinomycetota; Actinomycetes; Mycobacteriales; Nocardiaceae
Description: bacterial SSU rRNA
Rfam family: Bacterial small subunit ribosomal RNA
Source: RNAcentral